Molecule: ribosomal RNA, 237 nt
Filed under: uncultured soil bacterium
Lineage: Bacteria
Description: partial 16S ribosomal RNA
Rfam family: Bacterial small subunit ribosomal RNA
Source: RNAcentral
AGGACGAACGCUGGCGGCGUGCCUAACACAUGCAAGUCGAACGGGACCAGGGGCAACUCUGGUUCAGUGGCGGACGGGUGCGUAACACGUGAGGAACAUGACCUUCGGCGGGGGAUAGCCGGCCCAACGGCCGGGUAAUACCGCGUACGACCACUCGGGGACAUCCCCGAGGUGGUGAAAGCAGCAAUGCGCCGAUGGAGUGCCUCGCGGCCUAUCAGCUAGUGGUGAGGUACGCUC